GGGGGCCCGCACAAGCGGUGGAGCAUGUGGUUUAAUUCGAUGCAACGCGAAGAACCUUACCUGGCCUUGACAUCCACAGAAGGAUCCAGAGAUGGAUUUGUGCCUUCGGGAGCUGUGAGACAGGUGCUGCAUGGCUGUCGUCAGCUCGUGUUGUGAAAUGUUGGGUUAAGUCCCGCAACGAGCGCAACCCUUAUCCUUUGUUGCCAUCGAUUAGGUCGGGAACUCAAAGGAGACUGCCGGUGAUAAACCGGAGGAAGGUGGGGAUGACGUCAAGUCAUCAUGGCCCUUACGGCCAGGGCUACACACGUGCUACAAUGGCGCAUACAAAGAGAAGCGAGCCUGCGAGGGGAAGCGGACCUCAUAAAGUGCGUCGUAGUCCGGAUCGGAGUCUGCAACUCGACUCCGUGAAGUCGGAAUCGCUAGUAAUCGUGGAUCAGAAUGCCACGGUGAAUACGUUCCCGGGCCUUGUACACACCGCCCGUCACACCAUGGGAGUGGGUUGCAAAAGAAGUAGGUAGCUUAACCUUCGGGAGGGCGCUUACCACUUUGUGAUUCAUGACUGGGGUGAAGUCGUAACAAGGUAACCGUAA
This 590-nucleotide ribosomal RNA is filed under the name uncultured bacterium. Its description in RNAcentral is "bacterial SSU rRNA". It matches the Rfam family "Bacterial small subunit ribosomal RNA", at positions 915 to 1505 of the family's 1533-position model. The record is from RNAcentral.